GAUGAACGCUGGCGGCGUGCCUAAUACAUGCAAGUCGAGCGAACAGACGAGGAGCUUGCUCCUCUGACGUUAGCGGCGGACGGGUGAGUAACACGUGGAUAACCUACCUAUAAGACUGGGAUAACUUCGGGAAACCGGAGCUAAUACCGGAUAACAUGUUGAACCGCAUGGUUCAACAGUGAAAGACGGUCUUGCUGUCACUUAUAGAUGGAUCCGCGCCGCAUUAGCUAGUUGGUAAGGUAACGGCUUACCAAGGCAACGAUGCGUAGCCGACCUGAGAGGGUGAUCGGCCACACUGGAACUGAGACACGGUCCAGACUCCUACGGGAGGCAGCAGUAGGGAAUCUUCCGCAAAGGGCGAAAGCCUGACGGAGCAACGCCGCGUGAGUGAAGAAGGUCUUCGGAUCGUAAAACUCUGUUAUUAGGGAAGAACAAAUGUGUAAGUAACUAUGCACGUCUUGACGGUACCUAAUCAGAAAGCCACGGCUAACUACAUG
This 497-nucleotide ribosomal RNA is filed under the name uncultured bacterium. RNAcentral describes it as "partial 16S ribosomal RNA". It matches the Rfam family "Bacterial small subunit ribosomal RNA", at positions 28 to 507 of the family's 1533-position model. The record is from RNAcentral.